GAUGAACGCUGGCGGCGUGCCUAAUACAUGCAAGUCGAGCGGACGGACGAGACGCUUGCUUCUCUGAUGUUUGCGGCGGACGGGUGUGUCACGCGUGGAUCACCUACCUAUCAGACUGGGAUAUCUUCGGGACACCGGCGCUUAUACCGGAUGAUAUUUUGAACCGCAUGGUUCAAAAGUGAAAGACGGUCUUGCUGUCACUUAUAGCUGUAUCCGCGCUGCAUUAGCUAGUUGGUAAGGUAACGGCUUACCAAGGCAACGAUGCAUAGCCGACCUGAGAGAGGGAUCGGCCACACGGGAACGGAGACACGGUCCAUGCGCCUACGGGAGGCAGCAGUAGGGAAUCGGCCGCAGUGGGCGGAAGCCUGGCGGAGCAACGCCGCGUGAGUUGUGAAGGUCUUCGGAGCGUAAAACUCUGUUAUGAGGUAAGAACAUAUGUGGAAGGAACUGUACACAGCGUGACGGUACCUAAUCAGAAAGCCACGGCUAACUACGUG
RNAcentral lists this ribosomal RNA (497 nucleotides) under uncultured bacterium. Its description in RNAcentral is "partial 16S ribosomal RNA". It matches the Rfam family "Bacterial small subunit ribosomal RNA", at positions 28 to 507 of the family's 1533-position model. The record is from RNAcentral.